RNAcentral lists this ribosomal RNA (500 nucleotides) under uncultured bacterium. RNAcentral's name for it is "partial 16S ribosomal RNA". It matches the Rfam family "Bacterial small subunit ribosomal RNA", at positions 30 to 523 of the family's 1533-position model. The record is from RNAcentral.
AUUGAACGCUGGCGGCAUGCCUUACACAUGCAAGUCGAACGGCAGCACGGGAGCAAUCCUGGUGGCGAGUGGCGAACGGGUGAGUAAUACAUCGGAACGUGCCCAAUCGUGGGGGAUAACGUAGCGAAAGCUACGCUAAUACCGCAUACGUUCUACGGAUGAAAGCGGGGGAUCGCAAGACCUCGCGCGAAUGGAGCGGCCGGUGGCAGAUUAGGUAGUUGGUGAGGUAAAGGCUCACCAAGCCUGCGAUCUGUAGCUGGUCUGAGAGGACGACCAGCCACACUGGGACUGAGACACGGCCCAGACUCCUACGGGAGGCAGCAGUGGGGAAUUUUGGACAAUGGGCGCAAGCCUGAUCCAGCAAUGCCGCGUGCAGGAUGAAGGCCUUCGGGUUGUAAACUGCUUUUGUACGGAACGAAACGGUCCUUUCUAAUACAAGGGGCUAAUGACGGUACCGUAAGAAUAAGCACCGGCUAACUACGUGCCAGCAGCCGCCGUAA